ACGAACGCUGGCGGCGUGCUUAACCCAUGCAAGUCGCACGGAAAGGCCCUGCUUUUGUGGGGUGCUCGAGUGGCGAACGGGUGAGUAACACGUGAGUAACCUGCCCUUGACUUUGGGAUAACUUCAGGAAACUGGGGCUAAUACCGGAUAGGAGCUCCUGCUGCAUGGUGGGGGUUGGAAAGUUUCGGCGGUUGGGGAUGGACUCGCGGCUUAUCAGCUUGUUGGUGGGGUAGUGGCUUACCAAGGCUUUGACGGGUAGCCGGCCUGAGAGGGUGGCCGGCCACAUUGGGACUGAGAUACGGCCCAGACUCCUACGGGAGGCAGCAGUGGGGAAUAUUGCACAAUGGGCGGAAGCCUGAUGCAGCAACGCCGCGUGCGGGAUGACGGCCUUCGGGUUGUAAACCGCUUUCGCCUGUGACGAAGCGUGAGUGACGGUAAUGGGUAAAGAAGCACCGGCUAACUACGUG
RNAcentral lists this ribosomal RNA (467 nucleotides) under uncultured bacterium. RNAcentral's name for it is "partial 16S ribosomal RNA". It matches the Rfam family "Bacterial small subunit ribosomal RNA", at positions 29 to 507 of the family's 1533-position model. The record is from RNAcentral.